UGAGUACGAGAUGCUACGGCAUCGAAGCAGUCUAUGUCAUACUUCCAAGAAAAGCUUGCACUGUCAUAAACAAAGAAUGCCUGUACCAUAACCGACACAGGUGGGUAGGUAGAGUAUACUAAGGGGCGCGAGAUAACUCUCUCUAAGGAACUCGGCAAAAUGACUCCGUAACUUCGGGAGAAGGAGUGCCUUAUUUCUAAGGCUGCAAUAACAAGAUCCAAGCAACUGUUUACCAAAAACACAGGUCUCCGCUAAGUCGUAAGACGAUGUAUGGGGGCUGACGCCUGCCCAGUGCCAGAAGGUUAAAGAAGUUGGUUAGCAUUAGCGAAGCUGAUAACUGAAGCCCUGGUGAACGGCGGCCGUAACUAUAACGGUCCUAAGGUAGCGAAAUUCCUUGUCGGGUAAGUUCCGACCCGCACGAAAGGCGUAAUGAUUUGGAUACUGUCUCGGAGAGGGGCUCGGUGAAAUAGACUUGUCUGUGAAGAUGCGGACUACCUGCACCUGGACAGAAAGACCCUAUGAAGCUUUACUGUAACUUGAGAUUGAAAUUGGACUUUAUUUGCGCAGUAUAGGUGGGAGGCGUUGAGAAUAAUCUUGCGGGAUUGUUGGAGCCAUCAGUGAGAUACCACUCUUGUAAUGUUAGAUUUCUAACUUUGUAUCAUUAUCUGGUCAAAGAACAGUUUCAGGCGGGCAGUUUGACUGGGGCGGUCGCCUCCCAAAGGGUAACGGAGGCGCACAAAGGUUUCCUCUGAACGGGUAGAAAUCGUAUCUAGAGUGUAAAGGCAUAAGGAAGCUUGACUGUGAGACCUACAAGUCGAGCAGGGACGAAAGUCGGUCUUAGUGAUCUGACGGUGCUGAGUGGAAAGGCCGUCACUCAACGGAUAAAAGUUACUCUAGGAUAACAGGCUGAUCUCCCCCAAGAGUUCACAUCGACGGGGAGGUUUGGCACCUCGAUGUCGGCUCAUCGCAUCCUGGGGCGGUAGUCCGUCCCAAGGGUUGGGCUGUUCGCCCAUGAAAGCGGUACGCGAGCUGGGUUCAGAACGUCGUGAGACAGUUCGGUCCAUAUCCGGUGUAGGCGUUAGAAUAUUGAGAGGAGCCUUCUCUAGUACGAGAGGACCGAGAAGGACAUACCUCUGGUGUACCAGUUAUCGUGCCAACGGUAAACGCUGGGUAGCUAUGUAUGGAGUGGAUAACCGCUGAAAGCAUCUAAGUGGGAAGCCCACCUCAAGAUAAG
RNAcentral lists this ribosomal RNA (1234 nucleotides) under metagenome. RNAcentral's name for it is "bacterial LSU rRNA". It matches the Rfam family "Bacterial large subunit ribosomal RNA", at positions 1564 to 2808 of the family's 2925-position model. The record is from RNAcentral.